AUCUGGGUGACUCAGUAGGUUAAGUGUCUGACUUUGGCUCAGGUCGUGAUCUCAGGGUUGUGAGAUCAAGUCCCACAUCAGAUU
Molecule: transfer RNA, 84 nt
Filed under: Canis lupus familiaris (dog)
Lineage: Eukaryota; Metazoa; Chordata; Mammalia; Carnivora; Canidae
Also listed under: 1 other name
Rfam family: tRNA
About the family: Transfer RNA (tRNA) molecules are approximately 80 nucleotides in length. Their secondary structure includes four short double-helical elements and three loops (D, anti-codon, and T loops).
Source: Rfam by way of RNAcentral